CGAAGGGCCUGUUGCCACACUGAAGGGAAUCUAAUUUAAUGUAAAUCUCGUCUACACCCUCCCGUUUAAUAAAAUCCUUCCUAUAACAAGGAGACCAGAAUUGUACAUGGUAUGCCCGAAUAUGUCUUGCCAAAGUCUGUACAACCUCAACAUACCAUCCCAACUCCUAUGUUCUGGGCUGUUUGCUGGUCUGCGUUUUGCUUAGUGUCUUCUCUUCCUUCUGCCCUACUCUGAAACGAUGUUGAGAUCUUUUCCCACAGAAUAGGCACUAAAUAAACGCAAGCAGCUAUUGCAGCACGGAAGUCUGUUGUUUCUAAACAAACGUUAGCAACCCAUUGACUGGAUGAGGUGGAAACUGUAAGUCGGAAUUCUGUCAUUGAUUGAGAAAGGAAGACCUAAAUGGGAUCUGGAGUGAAUGCAAAAUAAGACCAAGAGUUUGAUGAGGCUGUGUGAAUACGAGUAUAGGACGGUCUCAAAAUGCGAACGGGCGCAAGUGACUCGGGACGCAACUCAAAGUGCACAAGGGGAAUUCAACAUUGGCGCGAUGUGGACCCGGCAACAGAUUCCUCUUUAAAAAAUAAAUCCGCCGACUCGACGACAAAUGGAACCUUUUUUGAAAAAAGGGAGUUUGAUCGGUAUCGGUUUUUAAAAAGUCCGUUUUGUAGAGACUGAAGGUCCACCAAUAAUGCCAUAUUAAUUGUGGAUUGAAAGAAGGCAAUGGGAGAAAAGACGUUUUGCUCCUUUGGAUUUUCUCAGGAUAUUUGAGGUUGCAAUGUUGUAGAUAGUGUACACGGCUAUCUGUCAUUAUGAAAGUAGACGACAUCACCAGCAUAUGCAGAAAUGAUGGAGAAUGAAAAAGCGUACGGAAAACAUUAUGGAUCUCUUGAAUCAACUACGUGGAAGGCAGAGAAUGUAAAAGAUACAGAUAUUAUAUCAAUGGCUGAUUCGACCAUAACACUGGAUGACAUUGAAGAUGAACUUUUUAAAAUCGAAAGGAUUAGAGAUAUACUGGUCAGACGAGAAUCUGAACUCCGGUACAUGAUGGAUGAUAUACAACUGUGUAAGGAGAUAACACGACUUAAGAAAGAGCUACAGAAACUAGUAUCAAUACCAGAUAAAGACAAAUCAAAUGAAGAUAAACAGAAGGAAGAAGAAUUGUUGCAACAGAUACACAAGCUGGUCGAGACAAGGGAUUUUCUCGUGGAUGAUGUUGAAUUUGAAAGACUGAGGGAAAGAGAGGAAGACAAAGAAAUGGCUGAUUUCCUGCAGGCAAAAUUAUCAAAGGCCAGCUCCAAAAAAACAAAGAAACCAAAAUGCAACACACUCCCAGAACACAGAACAAAAAAAGUUCAUUUACAUUGCCUGAAAGGUUACCUGAUUGGAUGCCAUGCAUAUACUACAUACUACUUAGAAUCCUGUGAAGCCAUUCACACUGCAGAAAUGUGACAAAAUCCGCAGAGACCCUUUCUAAAAGAAACAGUUUGGGUGUUUCUCUAAUCUUUUCAAAUGUAUCAGUAUCCCCAAUGCUUUAACUACAAAAAUUCAAAAUAUGAAACAUCUUCAUAAAAUACUGAAACACACAUUGGCGAAGGUGACGGAAACCACAAGGUGCCAGUAAAGAUGCUAUAAAGGAAAGGAAGAUGACAUCGAGAGCACAGCAGACAUCAGCACCAUUUGUGGCGAAGACUGGGCUGAC
Chiloscyllium plagiosum (whitespotted bambooshark) is the source of this 1696-nucleotide non-coding RNA. The record is from RefSeq and is a predicted model, not a curated record. NCBI's taxonomy places the organism in Eukaryota, Metazoa, Chordata, Chondrichthyes, Orectolobiformes, Hemiscylliidae.